CCCCUCUGUUUUGGGGACCAGUAAGAGGUUCUGUCACUGCCUGCCCUGUAACGUUGGGAGCCUUUGUGCUGUGUAGCUAUGGUUCGAUUCCCUGACACCAGUAGCCUGUCCACAAUCAUAAAGUCUCACCCUGGCUCUCACCAGCCUAGUUACUCUUUGCAGGGUAACAUCAACAAUCCUU
Dermochelys coriacea (leatherback sea turtle) is the source of this 181-nucleotide long non-coding RNA. RefSeq lists it as uncharacterized. The record is from RefSeq and is a predicted model, not a curated record. The transcript is spliced from 3 exons. Lineage: Eukaryota; Metazoa; Chordata; Testudines; Dermochelyidae.